Molecule: ribosomal RNA, 240 nt
Filed under: uncultured bacterium
Lineage: Bacteria
Description: partial 16S ribosomal RNA
Rfam family: Bacterial small subunit ribosomal RNA
Source: RNAcentral
AAGCGGAUCUCUUAAAGCUGUUCUCAGUUCGGACUGCAGUCUGCAACUCGACUGCACGAAGCUGGAAUCGCUAGUAAUCGCGGAUCAGCACGCCGCGGUGAAUACGUUCCCGGGCCUUGUACACACCGCCCGUCACACCAUGGAAGACUGCAAUGCCCGAAGCCGGUGGCCUAAUCACUUAUGUGGAAGGAGCCGUCUAAGGCAGGGCAGAUGACUGGGGUGAAGUCGUAACAAGGUAGC